GUUUCCAGGGGGAGCUCCAAGUCCACAGAGCAAGGCAUGUCUCUUCCAGCUUCCGGCUCUCUCAUUCAAAACUCUGGCUUCCAACUACCAGCCAGCUAGGAUUCUACUCUAUGUGGGGGCAGCAUGCUCCAGUGGCUAGCCUUGGACUGGGGAGAUCCGGGUUCAAAUCCCCACUCAGCCAUGAAGCUCACUUCCUCCUUGGGAUCAGCGACCUAGGUCACAGGGUUAUCGUGAGGAUAAAAUGAGGGCAGGAAGAGAACCAUGUAAUCUGCUUUGAGCUCCUUGGAAGAAAGCGUGUGCUCAGCAACCUGCUCUUAAGGGGCAGUUCUGGAAGUCUGUUUGGAAAAGAAGGCAGAGGGGCUGCUUAACAGAAGUUCAGAGGAGGCCUACAUGCUUGUUUUAAGCCUGUUUUCAAGAGUUACAGAUUUA
Non-coding RNA from Zootoca vivipara (common lizard), 429 nucleotides. The record is from RefSeq and is a predicted model, not a curated record. NCBI's taxonomy places the organism in Eukaryota, Metazoa, Chordata, Lepidosauria, Squamata, Lacertidae.